UAGCGCAGAGUAUGUUGACGCGGUAUCUCAUUAACAUCGUGAUAUAACCUGUAUGCCCAGCAAGGGAGGAAGAAUAUAGCAAAAUUUUACUUUUAUGCCAGUAAAAAAAAAUGAUUAAGACAGCAGUGACUUUUUUUAAAAUCGUUUUUUACUAAAAUUUUUGUCAGGUUUAAAACCUGAAAGGCACUACUGUCUUGAUAUUAUUUCAAUGAUAAAUUAUUGAAAUUUAGGAAGCUACUAACUUUAACAAUUUACUAAUUUAGUUUUUGAUUAAACAAGUGAAUAUAGAUUAAGAAAAAAAAUAUAUGGAUAAAAAUAGAAUCUAAUUACACAACGAACAAGUAGGGUAAUGUAACUUUGAGGGAAUAACCACCUUAUCAUAAACAAGUGAACCC
Non-coding RNA from Biomphalaria pfeifferi, 395 nucleotides. Lineage: Eukaryota; Metazoa; Mollusca; Gastropoda; Planorbidae. The record is from the annotation of a GenBank genome assembly.